This 99-nucleotide small RNA is filed under the name Staphylococcus aureus. RNAcentral describes it as "HMPRNC0000_1107". The record is from RNAcentral. Lineage: Bacteria; Bacillati; Bacillota; Bacilli; Caryophanales; Staphylococcaceae.
AGUGGAUCUAUUACAAAGCGUUUAGGUUUUGAAAAUGGUGAAGUUUUUAGAGAACCACUUGUAGAAUUUUUCUAUAAAAAUGAUGCGUUAAAUGAUCCG